This is a non-coding RNA of Tuber magnatum (white Piedmont truffle), 107 nucleotides long. Lineage: Eukaryota; Fungi; Ascomycota; Pezizomycetes; Pezizales; Tuberaceae. The record is from the annotation of a GenBank genome assembly.
GCGCUAAUAGCUCAGUUGGGAGAGCGUCAGACUGAAGAUCUUACUACUUCAGCUCUUGAAAACCCGGGGUAAUCUGAAGGUCACCCGUUCAAUCCGGGUUUGGCGCA